Long non-coding RNA from Magnolia sinica, 1761 nucleotides. RefSeq lists it as uncharacterized. The transcript is spliced from 2 exons. NCBI's taxonomy places the organism in Eukaryota, Viridiplantae, Streptophyta, Magnoliopsida, Magnoliales, Magnoliaceae. The record is from RefSeq and is a predicted model, not a curated record.
CUCAUGUGGGGUGUGUGUGUGCGUGUGUGUAUAAUAUAUACAAAAAAAAAAAAAACAGCACGCUCAUAUUAAGAUUGAUUUUUUUUUUUUCCUUCUUUCAUUUCUGUGGUUUGUGUUUAUCCCUCUUCAAUCUCUCCAAAAUUUCUGAUUUUAUUUUUUCUUUUUCAGAAUUACAGGUUCUUCCAUUUAUAGAUUACUCUAUCUUAACAUUCAAAGGUGGAAAAAAAUGAGCUAUAUCAUGUUAAUAUGAACCAAUAUUUGACUUUAAUGGUGCAACAGGUGAUACAUUCAAUCCAUGGUGAUAAGAAUUUUAGUAUUGUACUGCUGAAUCUUUAUAAGUGAUACAUUCAUGAUAAGUUAUUCAAUGAAUCAUGAUUUUGAAUCUUUGAAUUGGUGCUGAAAUGGUCUGGUUAGGGUGGAAUUUCAGUCAUCUUCUUUUUUUUUUUUUUUUUUUUUUGCAGCUGAGUUUUUGCUGAGUGGUUUUUUAUUAGGUUUUUAAAUGAAGAAGCUAAAAAGCUCUUCUUUUUUGCUUUAUUUCUCAUGAAAAUGGUGGUUCUGGUGUGAGAAUUUUAGGUGGGAGGUUCUCUUAUUGUGUUGAAAUUGUUUCUCAUUUGGCUUUUACUUUUGUGUUUGCGUUGGUUUUGUGUAUGAAACUUCAUGUGGAAAUUACUGGCUUUUGGGUUAUGGUGGUUUUGGUAUAUUAUCUUUGACAGUGAGAAGAGGGUAAGAGAUUUUCAGAGUGGAAGAAAGGAUGGAAAGGAGAGAUUUCCUGUUUUGGGAACUAACUUUGCUGGAUUUGGUAUGGAUGGAAAGCUCCAACGCAAACCUUCUUCUUCUAUCAUACACUAUGAAGGUCAGUUGGGUUCUCUUAUUUUUAUUUUUUGAUUUUUAACUCCCUUCCCUUCACGCAUCAUCUGUUUGCUAGGAUCGUCUUGGCACAAGUUUAAUAAUAAAUUAUAUAUGCUUGUUCGGAUUGGCUUGAAAUGAUGAGGAGUUUGUUCUUUUGAGGUUUCUAUGAGAUUUUGAAAGCCAAUUGCAUGGACAAAGUCCACGGCUAGACAUAAAGAUUUUGUUCACCGGCCAUAAGGUUCCAUUUAACAACUGGCUCUGAUGUGUAUGUGCACCAAUUAGGAACUCUACCCAAUCCAUGGUGCUAGUUGUUAAAGGGCACUACAAGGCUCUAAUGUAUCAGACAGUCGAACUGGAUCGAGAGCAAUGUAACAGCUAUUCAGCAAAUGCAAAGAGCAUUACCAGGAGCAUUUUGUAACAGAUUUGGUCGCCAUUAUCAGCUCUAUUUUAGAACUUGGAGAACUUGCAAACGAAGUGCUUGAAAGCCACAAUGUAUUACAAGAUCAGUUGCAGGCCUCUCAGAUUUGUUCUCAGGUACUCGAAUCACUGGAUGUAAAAUGCAGUGUAUCUUCAACCAUAAAAGUUGGGAGUAUGAAACAAAUCCAUGUAUUCAUUAAAUAUUCAAACUUCAGCAGUCAAAGGAACAAAGAAAGAGGGCGUUCAGAAAGGAAUGCAUGUAGCCAACUGAUACUUCUGUUGAGGAGACAUCUGAUACUUCAGAAAGGAAUGCCUGCACCAGUAAUGAAAGAGAUCAGCUUGAGUUCAUGCAUGUAUUUACUUUUUUGGAUUUUCUAUUGGUCUUUUUUUGGUAGGAAGUGAGGUAAAGGGAAGUAUUUUAGCAUGGGUAUGAUGACAGUUCGAAUUGUUGUCAUGUAUGUCCAAGUAUAAUAUAAUGACUAUUUGAGAUGCCUA